Molecule: ribosomal RNA, 519 nt
Filed under: uncultured eukaryote
Lineage: Eukaryota
Description: SSU rRNA
Rfam family: Eukaryotic small subunit ribosomal RNA
Source: RNAcentral
AGGGCACCACCAGGAGUGGAGCCUGCGGCUUAAUUUGACUCAACACGGGGAAACUUACCCGGCCUGGACACUGGAAGGAUUGACAGAUUGAGAGCUCUUUCUUGAUUCAGUGGGUGGUGGUGCAUGGCCGUUCUUAGUUGGUGGAGCGAUUUGUCUGGUUAAUUCCGAUAACGAACGAGACUCUAGCCUAUUAAAUAGGCUCUCGGCUUUUAAACGCCGGGAGGACUUCUUAGAGGGACAGGUGGCGGUUCAGCCGCACGAAAGAGAGCAAUAACAGGUCUGUGAUGCCCUUUGUUGUCCGGGGCCGCACGCGCGCUACACUGAAGAGAUCAGCGUGCUUUACGUUCCUGCUCCGACCGGAGUGGGGAACCCAGUGAACCUUCUUCGUGAUUGGGAUAGAAGAUUGUAAUUAUUCUUCUUGAACGAGGAAUUCCCAGUAAACGCGAGUCAUAAGCUCGCGUUGAUUACGUCCCUGCCCUUUGUACACACCGCCCGUCGCUACUACCGAUUGAAUGUUUU